RNAcentral lists this ribosomal RNA (253 nucleotides) under uncultured bacterium. RNAcentral's name for it is "partial 16S ribosomal RNA". It matches the Rfam family "Bacterial small subunit ribosomal RNA", at positions 524 to 776 of the family's 1533-position model. The record is from RNAcentral.
UACGUAGGGACCAAGCGUUGUUCGGAUUUACUGGGCGUAAAGGGCGCGUAGGCGGCGUGUUAAGUCAGCUGUGAAAUCUCCGAGCUUAACUCGGAACGGUCAGCUGAUACUGAUGUGCUAGAGUGCAGAAGGGGCAAUCGGAAUUCUUGGUGUAGCGGUGAAAUGCGUAGAUAUCAAGAGGAACACCUGAGGUGAAGACGGGUUGCUGGGCUGACACUGACGCUGAUGCGCGAAAGCCAGGGGAGCGAACGGG